Dermacentor andersoni is the source of this 1425-nucleotide long non-coding RNA. RefSeq lists it as uncharacterized. Lineage: Eukaryota; Metazoa; Arthropoda; Arachnida; Ixodida; Ixodidae. The record is from RefSeq and is a predicted model, not a curated record.
CGUCGCGUUUUUAUGGUGCGUCAUUGUGGUAGUAAUUUUCGCGUAAUUUCUUUAAAGGACAGCACAAGGUGUGUUGGAUGCGGGUGUAGUAUGUGUACUUCAGGCGGAGCCUACGGGUACCGAACGUGAAAAAGAAAUGAAAAUAUAUCGGAUGUUUCAUUGUUCGUGUGUCCUCAACUAAUUGUGACAGCACAUAGAGUUGUAGAGAAUUAAGUACCGCUACGCGUCAGUAUACGGCGCAGGCAGGUAAAUAAUACUUUGGUUUGGCUAAUUCAUUCUGUUACUAAAGAUGGGCGCAUACUUAUACCGGUUUCACACGGCCACUUUCGAUCACGAUUGAGCCUGUUCUGGAUCGAAAUUUUCGACUGCGAUCGGCUCCCGUCCGCAGAUUCAGCAAGGAAGCCAAACGUGACCAGAAAUUCGAUCCCAGUCAGGAUCGAUCGCGGCCAAAAGUGUGCAGUGGGACAACCGUAUUAAAUGUCGCUUGUGUACUUGCACUCGUUUUUUUUUCCCAGGUCACGUGGUAGGUAAUGAUGCAGGUAGCUUACAAUGCUUGUGCUUUCAUCGCUAGAACUAAUACAAAAGAACCACAACCAUCCCGGCUAUGUGGCUAUCCUUCGUUUUCAGUUGUACUCGUUUGUUCUAGAAGCUUUCGUGCCGUUGCGGAUGAACGCGUGGUUGCGCUAUUUGUUUAUGAAUUUAUCUUUGUGUAAAUAAGUACACCGAGCCUAAUCAUUUUUUUUCUCGACCUUGAACUCGUUUUUUGGUUUCACGCACGCAUGCUUAUUACUACUACUAUUUGUUUUCUUGUUGUACGACUGAACCCUGCCUAAGGCGUCCUGUCAGUGGUCGACAGUAUUUCUGAAAUGAAUUGCACUGAACAUCCUACGGCUAUUCUACGUUUCACUGCCUUAUUCUAAUGUCUAGUUAUAAAGCGUAUGGUUAUUGUAACUAUUCUUGGCUUGUAUAUAUGUAUGUAUUAAGCUGGUAAAUGCUUAAUUGUGUUUGCAGUUUUGAGAGGUUCUUUUAUUAAGUGGUCAAUCUCGGGUGGUAUUAAUGGUGAGUUGUUUUCUUGUGCCCAUGCAGUUGGUCAGCAUGAAGCAAUUGCAUGGGAACCGGCUGAUUGUCUUGGGCCUACACAUUGCUCAAAAGACAGUGAAGGUGUCUGAGCCGACAGGUAGAAAACAAGCAGAUGGCUGCAGCGAUCAAUGAAGAAAUGGCUUCAUCUAUGAUGGCUCGCCUUAGGACAUUGGAAUGGAGCUACACAAAGGCAUCACCAGCCUCGCCUGUGCACUGGAACAUUGGUUUGAAUAAGACUGUCCUUCAGUGUAGAACGACCACAAGACUUGUCACCACAUACAAGGCGUAGUGCAAGCUCUAAAUAUUGUACAGGUGGCUAGAAUAAAUGACCCUCUAUGCAGUCAC